GUCGAAGCCCUCAUUUGCACCCAAAAUUGGUUAAAGACCAAACCUGUUGACAUUCGGGAAUUGGAAGAAUACGUACAGUCGAUGGACCUUGAAGAUGAUCAUCUAGCUUCAUUUUCAACAGAGGAUGCUGUGCGUCUCUCUUCCCAUUGAUGCUGAAAAAAAUUUAGAGUUAUCUAGUUUCUCAUGACGUGCUGACGCAAUUAGUAAACACUUGAAGGACACAAAAGCAGCUGAAUAGAUGGCAG
Long non-coding RNA from Juglans microcarpa x Juglans regia, 245 nucleotides. RefSeq lists it as uncharacterized. Lineage: Eukaryota; Viridiplantae; Streptophyta; Magnoliopsida; Fagales; Juglandaceae. The record is from RefSeq and is a predicted model, not a curated record. The transcript is spliced from 3 exons.